AACUAAUUAGUCAAAACAAACAGAAAAGGAAAAAGGGAUCGGUGGCAGCAAGUAGGCCGGUGACGACGACCGCCGAGUGCCACCCGAACAGGGAGAGGAGCCACCUUCAGUAGGAGUCGUGACAAGCAGUGUCAUCAUGCACUCUGGAAUGCAUGCUUCUCUAGUGUCCACUUUCCAACUACCUUCAUCAGCAGCUGUUACCAAAGCAGACUUCAUACUGGUAUUCUGGUGUCCCCAGCCCAGCAAGAUGUCUCUCUGCCUCUGCCAUCUCUGCUUCAGGAGGACAACAGCAACACAUUCAGCCCUAUAUUCUGAAAACUCCUGUGAUUUCUGUUUUACAUUGUGUAAUCGCUUACUGCUUGGACCUGACCCAGCAGCAACAGACAGACAGGAGCAGACGGACAAUGUGCAGAUGUUGUCACUGAUUUACACACGACAGCUGAACAGAGGACAGCAGAUGAAAGGAGAGGCCCUCUGGAUCACAGGGACACAGCAGUAGCAGUCUCCACCAGCUGUGCAGAUCUGUGGAGGGACAUAGGGGAAAAGGACAUAACAAUGUAUGGAUCAUGGCUAUAUCACUCCCUGCACAUUUCCCCACAGGCAGCUCAGGGAUUCGAACCGGCAACCCUCCCGAUACCAGCCUACCGCUCUAACCUUGAGGCUACUGCUGUGCCCCAAGUACUCUAACAUGGGCUGGGUUCUUCCAUUCCUCCUCAGUCUUUCUCUGGGCAGUAAGCUACUUACACGGAGUUUGUCGCCCUGCUGGACAAGAGACUCUUGUAAUAAAGCAGAUCAAUCUGACUGGAAUAAAACCAUGUGACCAAUAAAUGUUUCAUAGCCUCGAUCGGUCUAUUGUCUUGUUUCCCACCCUCUGUUAAAAGCUUU
This 885-nucleotide long non-coding RNA is filed under the name Salmo salar (Atlantic salmon). RNAcentral's name for it is "lncRNA (ENSSSAG00000105325.1)". Lineage: Eukaryota; Metazoa; Chordata; Actinopteri; Salmoniformes; Salmonidae. The record is from RNAcentral.